RNAcentral lists this ribosomal RNA (462 nucleotides) under uncultured bacterium. RNAcentral's name for it is "partial 16S ribosomal RNA". It matches the Rfam family "Bacterial small subunit ribosomal RNA", at positions 355 to 828 of the family's 1533-position model. The record is from RNAcentral.
UGGGGAAUAUUGCACAAUGGGCGAAAGCCUGAUGCAGCGACGCCGCGUGAGGGAUGACGGCCUUCGGGUUGUAAACCUCUUUCAGCAGGGAAGAAGCGAAAGUGACGGUACCUGCAGAAGAAGCGCCGGCUAACUACGUGCCAGCAGCCGCGGUAAUACGUAGGGCGCAAGCGUUGUCCGGAAUUAUUGGGCGUAAAGAGCUCGUAGGCGGUUAGUCGCGUCUGCUGUGAAAAUCUCGAGGCUCAACCUCGGGCUUGCAGUGGGUACGGGCUGACUAGAGUGCGGUAGGGGUGACUGGAAUUCCUGGUGUAGCGGUGGAAUGCGCAGAUAUCAGGAGGAACACCGAUGGCGAAGGCAGGUCACUGGGCCGCAACUGACGCUGAGGAGCGAAAGCAUGGGGAGCGAACAGGAUUAGAUACCCUGGUAGUCCAUGCCGUAAACGUUGGGCACUAGGUGUGGGGU